RNAcentral lists this long non-coding RNA (1290 nucleotides) under Cyanistes caeruleus (blue tit). Its description in RNAcentral is "lncRNA (ENSCCEG00000006176.1)". The record is from RNAcentral. Lineage: Eukaryota; Metazoa; Chordata; Aves; Passeriformes; Paridae.
CCCGGUUCAGUCUCUUAUUUAUUCUUUUAAAAAUCAGGUUUUAAAAAAGGACAGGGAAGCAAGAACGCAGGGAAAUCACUUUUGGAAACUCGGUGGUUCUUACAGAGAAACACUGCGAUGAGCGCUUGUCCCAAGGUGAAACACAUACAUCCUCCUCGGAAGAGUUAUUUAAAAAUUAAAACCUACAAAUCGUUAGUCCAAAUAGCUCUGUGAAAUAGCUGCAAAGAUUAAAACAGCACCUCGAGCUGUAAAAUCGCCCCCAUAGAGUAAAUAUCAGCCUUACAUCAUUCCCUCUUGCUGUCAGUUGCCGGGCCGUAGUGUGCCGCAGUAUGUAGCACAGAGGUUACCUCCCGCAUUCCUCUCCCUGUGCGCGCUGCACGGACUCCUCCCGUCGCAAGUAUGUGCUGCUAGAAAGAACAAGUGGAUCAUUUCUCACGGGAGCCUAUGUAUUGAUUCUCCUGAACCUGAAAAUCCCACGGUUGUAUGAACUGAAAUAAGUAACUUUUAGGGCCAUUUCAGAAGUUAACACUAGGUCAGUUACUACUAUAAGUAGUACUUUAGUGUGAUUAUCAAACUCCAUACUGAAAAGACUUCAGGAGUCAUCUUUACUGGAACAAGCUCUAGUCUAAGCUGUCAGAAAUCUUCGCUUGAGAAGAGCCAGAAGGCCAGAGCCAGUCCUGCCAGUGUUACCAAAUGGACAUGAGAGUUUGUGCCCCUGGAUGCUUGAGGGAGCGCAGCUGCCAAGAGUACCACUAAUGAAUCAGAACACCAGCCACUGGGUCUCAGCCUUCCUGCAGGCCAGCCAUGUGGCCAGGAGUUACGUGCUGCAGGGCCUCCUAUGCCACAUCAUCUGGCAGGAAAAUAUCUGAUGAAAUCAACAAGUUUAUAAAUUCACAUAACCUCAGGGAAAAUUUGCUGUCAAAUGCAUUCCUGUUGAAACAACUCUUAACAGACUUGAGGACACGAGUAAGAGCUGACAAUUGUUGCACAGAGCAGAUACAACUUCUUUAGUAAAGUCUGCUAUUAAGGUUUCUGAGAACCUGGAAAACUCCAAUGCAAAACCACAGUGACCAUUUUAGACCCAGCAAUGAAAGGCUUCAGGCACAGAGUGCCCAGCUGCAUAGUUUUGGUUUGCAAGUUUCAAUUGCACCGAUUCUGUGUGCAUUGCUAGGAGUGAAACUCCAGCAGCGUUGCAGCAAACAAUAGGCAGCCUAAUGGCCACACUCAACAGUAUCAAACCUCAGCAAGGAGGAUUAUGUUAAAAAAAAUUAAAGAAAGCAUAUGCUCAGC